GCUCCAGUGGCGCUAUCGGUCAGUGCGCGGUACUUAUAAGACAGUACAAUGAUUAGCAAUGCCGAGGUUGUGAGUUCGAGCCUCACCUGGAGCA
This is a non-coding RNA of Danio rerio (zebrafish), 94 nucleotides long. Lineage: Eukaryota; Metazoa; Chordata; Actinopteri; Cypriniformes; Danionidae. The record is from Rfam.